Molecule: ribosomal RNA, 441 nt
Filed under: Orobdella ketagalan
Lineage: Eukaryota; Metazoa; Annelida; Clitellata; Hirudinida; Orobdellidae
Description: partial 12S ribosomal RNA
Source: RNAcentral
UUUUAUUAUUAGCUCAAUAUAAGAUUGGGGACUACAAGCAAUAGCUUAAAAACCUAAGAAUUUGGGGGUGUUUUAUUCAAUCAGGGGGACCUGUACUUUAAAUCGACAAUCCACGAUAAACUCUAUCUAAUUUUAAUAAAUUAAUAUAUAUUAACUUGUGUACUGCCGUUUUAUAAGCCCUUUAGGAUCUCUUAUAAUCAAUUAAAAAAAAAAUAAAAAGUCAGGUCAUAGUGCAGUUUACGGUUAGAUAGUUCAUGGGUCACAUUUUUAAAAAUAAAUUAGUAUUAUAAAUUAAUUUUUAUGAUAAAUUUAGAACUUGAUAGUAAUUAUAAAAUUAUUUAUAUUAUAAUGAAUAUGAACCUAAAACAAGUACAUAUCGCCCGUCACUCCUUUAUACAGGAUAAGUCGUAACAUAGUAGAUGUAAUGGAAAUUGCAUCUGU